This is a long non-coding RNA of Eubalaena glacialis (North Atlantic right whale), 1560 nucleotides long. RefSeq lists it as uncharacterized. Lineage: Eukaryota; Metazoa; Chordata; Mammalia; Artiodactyla; Balaenidae. The transcript is spliced from 7 exons. The record is from RefSeq and is a predicted model, not a curated record.
AAAGCCCGAAAAUGGGGUAGUGCGUAGACUCCGGGUUCUCGCGAGAAUGCCGAGGUGGUGAGGGCGCCGAGCUGCGGGGACUCGUAACCAGGGCGACGGGGGCGGGGCGCUGGUCCUACGCCGCCGGGUGCUCACCUGGAUUGCGCGUCCACUUGGCGAGUUCAGCGUCAGGUCCCAGAGGGUCCCCAGCAAAAACUCCUGUAUAUCCUGGCUCUUCCCUGACCACUUUGGAGCAGGUCCUCAGACCCAUGUGAGAGGCUGCCUCCUAGGCUAUAGUCCUCAGAAGAAGUACCCAUUGGAGAGUCCUCUGUCAAGCAGGCUCAGCAAGCAGUUUGCCGUGGCCCACGACCAAGCUGCCAUGCUCUGUGUUCAGUAUUCAGGGCAAAGACACAUUUCCUAAGCCUGUAUAGUCUGUGCAGUUUUAUUACAUAGACGUGUUUGUUUUGUCGUCCUCGGCCUUGAGUCUCAGCUGCUUGAGCAUCACGUCGACACCAGCAAAGGCGCCGUGUGAAGGCAGUCGCCUCCUCUCGGGCCUGUCCUCUCUGGACUCGGGGCGCCGCAUUUCAACAAGGAGGGAUCGUCAUUUAUGACCCAGCAAUCCCAGGUUUAUAAUCUUUUUGCAACCACAGCCAUUGGUGAUGGGAUAAAACUUUGGGACCUGAGAACCCUGAGGUGUGAGAGCCGUUUUGAAGGACAUCCGAAGUGCUGCUACCCGUGUGGAAUUGCUUUUAGCGUUUGCGGCCGAUAUGUGGCUUGUGCUGAGGAUAAGCAUGGUAUCGUGGAAGCUUAUCAUAGGAAAUAGAAAGUAUGAAGUAAAUUCGUGAAGAUGAUAAACUUUCUAAAAGGGAAAAGAGAAAAGCACAUUUCAUGAAGUUACUUCCAUGGCGUAGGUGGCGUUUUGUCGACCAGCUGCUUCUCUGAUGCCUGAUCAGCUGGCGAACAUACUUGAGCUUUGCACGAUGCCUUGCGGAUCAUCCGAGCCUGCAACGCGGAGCACCUGUGCGUUCUGUCCUCUGGGCGUUCGUGUGCAAAACCAGCUCUGGCACUUACUGCUGCAGACUGGCAGGACGCAUGGACACGGUCACGGCCGUGGCCUUCAGCCCGGCCGCUGCCCAGGUGUGGUCGCCUCUGUUUCGUACAAGUCUCACAUCAUAGCUUUUCUAUCUGUCGGCCUGUAUUUUGGUGAAAUUUUGUAAUAUUUAAGAUUACAUGCCAGCUUGCAUCGAGUGCAGGGAGAUGAACUUAGGAAAUAGACCUUUACUGGGGAGAAAGAGAAAUCGAGGGUGUUUUCUUUUACAGUGAAAGUGUUUGUCAUUCGGUGCCGAUGGACAUUUGCUCUAACUGAAAUAUAAAAAAAUAAUGAGAUAUCCGUGGACAGGAUCAUUGAAGGAAGAAAGCAAGUACACGGCAAGUAAGGAAAUGAUUUUGAAAUUCUCGUGAAAAGGAUUUAGAUGGAGAAGGAGGACCACAAAAUUUAAAGAAUCUUAAUUAGGAGAAAGGAUUAAGAGAAAGUAACAUCAACUGCAAAUCAACCCAGAAAAGUGAAUGAUCUUGUAUUAA